This 448-nucleotide ribosomal RNA is filed under the name uncultured bacterium. RNAcentral's name for it is "bacterial SSU rRNA". It matches the Rfam family "Bacterial small subunit ribosomal RNA", at positions 954 to 1401 of the family's 1533-position model. The record is from RNAcentral.
GCUAAACGCGAAGAACCUUACCAGGCCUUGACAUGCAGAGAACUUUCCAGAGAUGGAUUGGUGCCUUCGGGAACUCUGACACAGGUGCUGCAUGGCUGUCGUCAGCUCGUGUCGUGAGAUGUUGGGUUAAGUCCCGUAACGAGCGCAACCCUUGCCUUAGUUACCAGCACGUUAUGGUGGGCACUCUAAGGAGACUGCCGGUGACAAACCGGAGGAAGGUGGGGAUGGACGUCAAGUCAUCAGUGGCCCUUACGGCCUGGGCUAACACACGUGCUACAAUGGUCGGUACAGAGGGUUGCCAAGCCGCGAGGUGGAGCUAAUCUCACAAAACCGAUCGUAGUCCGGAUCGCAGUCUGCAACUCGACUGCGUGAAGUCGGAAUCGCUAGUAAUCGCGAAUCAGAAUGUCGCGGUGAAUACGUUCCCGGGUCUUGUACACACCGAGUCGUG